This 164-nucleotide ribosomal RNA is filed under the name Pictichromis porphyrea (magenta dottyback). Its description in RNAcentral is "partial 12S ribosomal RNA". The record is from RNAcentral. Lineage: Eukaryota; Metazoa; Chordata; Actinopteri; Pseudochromidae.
GGUUAUACGAGAGGCCCAAGUUGACAGACUGCGGCGUAAAGGGUGGUUAGGAAAAAUAUGCAAACUAAAGUCGAACAACUCCAACACCGUGAUACGUCUCCGGAAAUACGAAGCCCAACCACGAAAGUGACUUUACCCUAUCUGACCCCACGAGAGCUGAGAAA